This 253-nucleotide ribosomal RNA is filed under the name uncultured bacterium. Its description in RNAcentral is "partial 16S ribosomal RNA". It matches the Rfam family "Bacterial small subunit ribosomal RNA", at positions 524 to 776 of the family's 1533-position model. The record is from RNAcentral.
UACGUAGGGUGCAAGCGUUGUCCGGAAUUAUUGGGCGUAAAGAGCUCGUAGGCGGUUCGUCGCGUCGGCUGUGAGAACCCGGAGCUCAACUCCGGGCCUGCAGUCGAUACGGGCGGACUUGAGUGUUGCAGGGGAGACUGGAAUUCCUGGUGUAGCGGUGAAAUGCGCAGAUAUCAGGAGGAACACCGGUGGCGAAGGCGGGUCUCUGGGCAACUACUGACGCUGAGGAGCGAAAGCGUGGGGAGCGAACAGG